Molecule: long non-coding RNA, 2081 nt
Organism: Empidonax traillii (willow flycatcher)
Lineage: Eukaryota; Metazoa; Chordata; Aves; Passeriformes; Tyrannidae
Exons: 3
Source: RefSeq, a predicted model, not a curated record
AGAUACUUACUGAUAAAAUCAAAACAUAAGUAACUAGCCUAAGCUAAACAGCAGGUAGAGAUAGAGAUUACGUUCCACCCGUGCAGACCAAAGACAUGGAGUAGCUUGUGGUACGUCACUGUGAAGAGUUUGGGUGUGAACCUCUCAUUUUUCUGGCACUAUGUAAAGAAAAAAACAUCUCCCCUUUGCCCCUGGACUGUUACGCACAAAGCAUCUAGCUGGCUGAAACUUCACUUUCCUCCAGGAGCAAUAUUGUAGAGAAUUGUAUCUUCUCUAGUGUACAGAAUUGCUCUGACAGCUUAUCACUGCUUGUUUAACAGUUGACUGUUCUCACUUCCUUUAGGCGCUAGAGAAUAAGCAUAGUGAAACAAUUACCGGGCUCCAUUGAUGCACUAACCCUCAAAGCCUCCUUGCUGUUGAGUUCCAAAAACCAGCUUCAUUCACUGUUAAUUGAGGUUUGUCUUCCAGAGUUUCUGAAGGGUGAUGAUUCUUCAGCCAUCGCAGCCACAAUUAUAUUCACUGAGUCAUGGACAGCUAUUUUCAACAGACCUUCCUAUAACGCUUUGGCAUAAGUUAAAGGUGGUGGCUAAAUCUCUUCAUUUUGUCAAAAUUUUGCACUUUGUAAGUGUAGGACUAGAAAAAACAAAACAACUGGAUCAGAGUGCAGUCUUCUAUAGCUGCAAAAACAAAUCAAUAGACAUUAAUUUCAGGCUUGGACAAUACCUCCUUCAUCCCUCUCCACAUACCAUGGGCCACAGAGCCAACUUCCUGUCAAGCUUUGAAAACUUUAAAAUUUUGAUAAAAGAUCAAAAGCAGUUGGACUGCAAGAAUAUCAUAAGAGAGAUCAAGAGUACUACCAGUGUCUUAGAUACUUUCAAAGAUAAAGACUGAACUCCUCAAAAAAUAAUCUUCCACUGUCUUUACAGUUGUGGGGUUUGCUGGUCCAUAUUAACUCUCCAUUCCUUGGGUUUGUUUAAGAUAAAGCAGAAUGUCAACCUCUUUUCAAUUACCUCAAGAAACAGAUAACAUGAAAUUUCAUUUCAUUCAGCUUUCCUUUAUUUCUGCUUAAUAGACCUAAAGCUGUUCAACAAUGGUUUACUAUAUCCUGGACUGCAUGGCUUUUCGUUGAACUCUCUUCCCAGCUCAUGUUCAUGAGCUCAAAAACCUAAGUCACAGACAUACUAGCUGAGGAUGCAAGUUGCUCUGUAAUUAAUCCUGGAAGGGGCACCAGGAAGCCAGGUAGAAUCCAUCAAUCUAAACUUACUUGUUAAAAGUCUGGAAAAAUACCUCAUACUUUCAGAAUUCCAUGAGAAGUAUCUGUUCAGCCCUGGAAGCCGUUUUAGGAAAAGGCAGAGUUUAUUUGAAAUGCAACUCAAACACACUUGAGUCCUUCAACAGCCACUUCAAAAUAGAGAAGGCUCUUGGCACUGUGUCUGAUGGAGCAGAAGGUCUGUGCUGAACCUCACUUGUAGGCAGCCCUGUGUGCUACUGCUCUCUGCUUGUGGGAACUGUACUGUGUUGUGCAACCAAAACACCUGCCUAAGUGGUCAUCUGGAUCUUCCUCAUUGGAAGACUCUUCUCUGCUACAUAGGGUGGCAGUGUUGGCUGUGCUUUCUGGGAGGGCUUAUUUUGGGAACAGCCAUGCUUCAGGAAGCUGCUGGGACUUAUCAGCCCCUGAGAGGAUGCUGAGAGCAGAUAAAAUUGAAAUAGCUUGCAAGGACCUCUGUGGCAUUGCUGAGAACCUGGCUCAGAUUAUCACCUGGACUCAGCUUGGCCUUGUGGAAUCUAUCUUUGGAAGCAGUGGUGGCAGUGCUGGAGUCAGUGUUGUGCAGCUACAAAGGAUGGAGCUGUCAAAGUGGAUUUGGAGUUGGAUUUGAAGAUCAUUUUAAAUUUGUAUAUUUAAAAGUGGAGAAGUAUGCCUGCAGGUUUCCAAUAAAAAAAAAAAAAAAUGGAGGCAUCACUUUUGGGACAUCCUCUGGACUAAAAUACUCUUAGCAUCAGUGAAAUAAAGCUGGAUGGUACAUAGUGUCCCAGCACUGGAUGAAGCUGUGAUAAUUAACUUUUAAAGCUUUAAAACUUCA